UCUAACUAAGUUGUUGUAAGGAGUCAUCUAUACACUAACUCAACUGGAUAUAAUGACUAAAACACCAUUGCUUUAUAAAAUAAAUUAUAUUAUUUGGAGGAUUUUUUUUCUUUUUAUAUAAAAAUAGAAAAAAAAAUAUUUGAACUUAAAAUAUCAUAGUUUUUAACAUCCCAACUUUUUCGAAUCACAAGAUGAUGACUUAAAAGGGACCUAAGAUGAUAUGGAUCGCAAUUGCACUCCAGAGCUCCUCGACUUAGACCUUGAAUUAAGGAGUAUCUCCAUCAUAUAAGGAGAAGUCGUGGCCUUGAAAAGUUUUAAUCCAAAUAUGAUUCUUGAAGAGUUUUUUGGUAGAAGAAGUUGUUUAGGGAGAGUUUAUAUUAAAUGUAUAGGGGUGAUGCCAUAAUUAUUCAAGGGUUACGAUAAAUUAGGAUUAAACCAUUGCUUAUAUUAUGAGUUUAGCAAUUGAUUUUUCUAAAGUCACACGUUGGUCCAUGGUGCACCAAAUUGUGUUACAAAUUUGCUCACGUUUCUUUCCAAUAUUUAUUGUUUUUUUCAUAUUGUUGUACUAAUACUUGCGCCAAAACAUAUAUUCAUAUCUCAUAUCACAGGUUGUCACAAUAGACAUGCUAACAAGCAUUGCACCGUUAAACAAGCAGAACUUUAGGCUAUUUAUGAUGAACUUACCUUGUCUUGGGAUAAAGGAUGUAGAUGGGUAUUUACGAGGCACUAAACUUCAUGGCUGGUUGGUCGAAUGGAAAGGAGCCUAAUCUACAUGUGUGCGAGAGCCCUACAAGGGGCAUCCGAACUAUCAUCUUACAAGGUGCAUGGGGCCAAACAAGCGAGAGACAAGUUCUUUCUAUUACUACCAAAAAGAAAAAAAAAAUGUAAAUGC
RNAcentral lists this long non-coding RNA (892 nucleotides) under Gossypium barbadense (sea-island cotton). RNAcentral's name for it is "long non-coding RNA (GBAR_LNC002721)". Lineage: Eukaryota; Viridiplantae; Streptophyta; Magnoliopsida; Malvales; Malvaceae. The record is from RNAcentral.